RNAcentral lists this ribosomal RNA (253 nucleotides) under uncultured bacterium. RNAcentral describes it as "partial 16S ribosomal RNA". It matches the Rfam family "Bacterial small subunit ribosomal RNA", at positions 524 to 776 of the family's 1533-position model. The record is from RNAcentral.
UACGUAGGGUGCGAGCGUUGUCCGGAAUUAUUGGGCGUAAAGGGCUCGUAGGCGGUCUGUUGCGUCGGGAGUGAAAACUCAGGGCUUAACCCUGAGCCUGCUUCCGAUACGGGCAGACUAGAGGUAUGCAGGGGAGAACGGAAUUCCUGGUGUAGCGGUGAAAUGCAUAGAUAUCAGGAGGAACACCGGUGGCGAAGGCGGGUCUCUGGGCCGAAACUGACGCUGAGGAGCGAAAGCGUGGGGAGCAAACAGG